GGAGGAUCCGAGCGUUAUCCGGAUUUAUUGGGUUUAAAGGGAGCGUAGAUGGAUGUUUAAGUCAGUUGUGAAAGUUUGCGGCUCAACCGUAAAAUUGCAGUUGAUACUGGAUAUCUUGAGUGCAGUUGAGGCAGGCGGAAUUCGUGGUGUAGCGGUGAAAUGCUUAGAUAUCACGAAGAACUCCGAUUGCGAAGGCAGCCUGCUAAGCUGCAACUGACAUUGAGGCUCGAAAGUGUGGGUAUCAAACAGGAUUAGAUACCCUGGUAGUCCACACGGUAAACGAUGAAUACUCGCUGUUUGCGAUAUACAGCAAGCGGCCAAGCGAAAGCGUUAAGUAUUCCACCUGGGGAGUACGCCGGCAACGGUGAAACUCAAAGG
RNAcentral lists this ribosomal RNA (378 nucleotides) under uncultured bacterium. Its description in RNAcentral is "bacterial SSU rRNA". It matches the Rfam family "Bacterial small subunit ribosomal RNA", at positions 527 to 907 of the family's 1533-position model. The record is from RNAcentral.